UAAGGUUUAUUGCUUCCUUUAAAGAGCAAUUGGUGCGGAUGGGACUCUCUCCCGCCUGGUUUCCAAUUUCCAGUUAAAGAAUUGGUGGCGAGCCUGAGU
This 99-nucleotide non-coding RNA is filed under the name unclassified sequences. RNAcentral's name for it is "wcaG RNA". It matches the Rfam family "wcaG RNA". The record is from RNAcentral.